AAAAGAUCACACACUUUCCCCUUGACUCAACAUUUUGUUGCACUGAGGGCCAAAGUCUAGUUUAAAUUCAGCUACCAUGUCCCGAACAGGCAAAUGAAGUCAGUGGCUGGAAAAAUUUUGCCAUUUCAGCACAGAGUGCUUCUGCAGCUACUGGCUGUUUGGAGAGGAGCAGGAGAGAGAGGAACAAAGGUGCGCAAUGGGAAUAUCCAGAAAUCCUGGAAUCAAGGGCAAUGAAAUCAGGGAGCCCCUUCCAUUCCUAUGGAUAGAUCAUCAGUCAGCUGAGAAGAUAGCUUCUGCCAGCAAAGGUUCCUGGAACAGAAGUGCUGGAAAGUUAUGGAGAGGGUGUUGAGAACAAGCAAAGACCACCAAAUAAGUUGCCACUGUAUGCAUGGAUGCAGAUCCAGAGGCAAACACAGGCCAGAAAGCUGCUGUCAAUUUUGACACCCUGCUAGUAACAUCAGAGGAACAUCAAGAACUGAUAGCAGUCUGAGCGAGUAUUUUGUACUAACACUUCUGGAAACAUGACUGAGUGCCUGGAAUAAAUCAGUUUAAUGCUAACUGGGUCUUUGAGUC
This 573-nucleotide long non-coding RNA is filed under the name Cyanistes caeruleus (blue tit). Its description in RNAcentral is "lncRNA (ENSCCEG00000002605.1)". Lineage: Eukaryota; Metazoa; Chordata; Aves; Passeriformes; Paridae. The record is from RNAcentral.